CCAUGGUCCACCACCUCCUCCAGGACAGCCACAAGGACCACCCCCACAACAGGGGCAGCCUCCCCAGUAAUCUAGGAUUCAAUGACAGGAAAUGAGUUAGAAGAUAAGUGUUUCAAAUGCCAAAACACAAUAUGGUCAUGCUCUAACUUCAAUAUACCAAUAAAAUAAUCAGCUUGCAAUUC
Cebus imitator (Panamanian white-faced capuchin) is the source of this 182-nucleotide long non-coding RNA. RefSeq lists it as uncharacterized. The record is from RefSeq and is a predicted model, not a curated record. Lineage: Eukaryota; Metazoa; Chordata; Mammalia; Primates; Cebidae. The transcript is spliced from 2 exons.